UACGUAGGUGGCAAGCGUUGUCCGGAAUUAUUGGGCGUAAAGCGCGCGCAGGCGGCCUGUUAAGUCUGAUGUGAAAGCCCCCGGCUCAACCGGGGAAGGUCAUUGGAAACUGAUAGGCUUGAGUACAGAAGAGGAAAGCGGAAUUCCACGUGUAGCGGUGAAAUGCGUAGAGAUGUGGAGGAACACCAGUGGCGAAGGCGGUUCUCUGGGCCUUACCUGACGCUGAGGAGCGAAAGCGUGGGGAGCGAACAGG
RNAcentral lists this ribosomal RNA (253 nucleotides) under uncultured bacterium. Its description in RNAcentral is "partial 16S ribosomal RNA". It matches the Rfam family "Bacterial small subunit ribosomal RNA", at positions 524 to 776 of the family's 1533-position model. The record is from RNAcentral.